GCUCAGGACGAANGCUGGCGGCGUGCCUNAAUAACAUGCAANUCGUAACGCUUCUUUUUCCACCGGAGCUUGCUNCCACCGGAAAAAGAAGAGUGGCGAACGGGUGAGUAACACGUGGGUAACCUGCCCAUCAGAAGGGGAUAACACUUGGAAACAGGUGCUAAUACCGUAUAACAAUCGAAACCGCAUGGUUUUGAUUUGAAAGGCGCUUUCGGGUGUCGCUGAUGGAUGGACCCGCGGUGCAUUAGCUAGUUGGUGAGGUAACGGCUCACCAAGGCCACGAUGCAUAGCCGACCUGAGAGGGUGAUCGGCCACAUUGGGACUGAGACACGGCCCAAACUCCUACGGGAGGCAGCAGUAGGGAAUNUUCGGCAAUGGACGAAAGUCUGACCGAGCAACGCCGCGUGAGUGAAGAAGGUUUUCGGAUCGUAAAACUCUGUUGUUAGAGAAGAACAAGGAUGAGAGUAACUGUUCAUCCCUUGACGGUAUCUAACCAGAAAGCCACGGCU
This 509-nucleotide ribosomal RNA is filed under the name Enterococcus hirae. Its description in RNAcentral is "bacterial SSU rRNA". It matches the Rfam family "Bacterial small subunit ribosomal RNA", at positions 22 to 498 of the family's 1533-position model. Lineage: Bacteria; Bacillati; Bacillota; Bacilli; Lactobacillales; Enterococcaceae. The record is from RNAcentral.